AUACCUACGGGGGGCAGCAGUCGGGAAUAUUGCGCAAUGGAGGAAACUCUGACGCAGUGACGCCGCGUGCAGGAAGAAGGAUUUCGGAUUGUAAACUGCUUUAGACAGGGAAGAAAAAAGACAGUACCUGUAGAAUAAGCUCCGGCUAACUACGUGCCAGAAGCAGCGGUAAUAAGUAGGGAGCAAGCGUUAUCCGGAUUUAUCGGGUGUAAAGGGUGCGGAGAAGGGAAUGCAAGUUGGUUGUGAAAU
Molecule: ribosomal RNA, 249 nt
Filed under: uncultured bacterium
Lineage: Bacteria
Description: partial 16S ribosomal RNA
Rfam family: Bacterial small subunit ribosomal RNA
Source: RNAcentral